Molecule: ribosomal RNA, 498 nt
Filed under: uncultured bacterium
Lineage: Bacteria
Description: bacterial SSU rRNA
Rfam family: Bacterial small subunit ribosomal RNA
Source: RNAcentral
ACUCCUACGGGAGGCAGCAGUGGGGAAUAUUGCACAAUGGGGGAAACCCUGAUGCAGCGACGCCGCGUGGAGGAAGAAGGUCUUCGGAUUGUAAACUCCUGUUGCUGGGGAAGAUAAUGACGGUACCCAACAAGGAAGUGACGGCUAACUACGUGCCAGCAGCCGCGGUAAAACGUAGGUCACAAGCGUUGUCCGGAAUUACUGGGUGUAAAGGGAGCGCAGGCGGGAAGACAAGUUGGAAGUGAAAUCUAUGGGCUCAACCCAUAAACUGCUUUCAAAACUGUUUUUCUUGAGUAGUGCAGAGGUAGGCGGAAUUCCCGGUGUAGCGGUGGAAUGCGUAGAUAUCGGGAGGAACACCAGUGGCGAAGGCGGCCUACUGGGCACCAACUGACGCUGAGGCUCGAAAGUGUGGGUAGCAAACAGGAUUAGAUACCCUGGUAGUCCACACCGUAAACCACGAUAGGAGGUGUUGGAGGAUUGACCCCUUCAGUGCCGCAG